RNAcentral lists this ribosomal RNA (403 nucleotides) under uncultured bacterium. Its description in RNAcentral is "bacterial SSU rRNA". It matches the Rfam family "Bacterial small subunit ribosomal RNA", at positions 356 to 773 of the family's 1533-position model. The record is from RNAcentral.
GGGGAAUAUUGGGCAAUGGGCGAAAGCCUGACCCAGCAACGCCGCGUGAGGGAAGAAGGUCUUCGGAUUGUAAACCUCUGUCCUUGGGGACGAAAAAAAUGACGGUACCCAAGGAGGAAGCCCCGGCUAACUACGUGCCAGCAGCCGCGGUAAUACGUAGGGGGCGAGCGUUGUCCGGAAUUACUGGGCGUAAAGGGUGCGUAGGCGGUUGCCUAAGUCAGAUGUGAAAUCCCCGGGCUUAACUCGGGUGGUGCAUUUGAAACUGGGUGACUAGAGUGCAGGAGAGGGAAGCGGAAUUCCUAGUGUAGCGGUGAAAUGCGUAGAUAUUAGGAGGAACACCAGUGGCGAAGGCGGCUUUCUGGACUGUAACUGACGCUGAGGCACGAAAGCGUGGGGAGCAAAC